Sus scrofa (pig) is the source of this 2420-nucleotide non-coding RNA. Lineage: Eukaryota; Metazoa; Chordata; Mammalia; Artiodactyla; Suidae. The record is from RefSeq and is a predicted model, not a curated record.
AAUAACAGGAAUGAACAGGAUGAUAACGAUGAUGCUGACAUUAACUGGAAAUUUAUUGCCUCAAGACCCUUCAAUACUCCUUCCAGCCAAGACAGUGAUCUUUUUUUUUUUUUUUCUUUUUUUUUUCUUUUUAGGGUCGCUGUGCGGCAUAUGGAGGUUCCCAGGCCAGGGGUCAAAUCAGAGCUACAGCUGCUGGCCUAUACCACAGCCACAUCAACACAGGAUCCAAACUGAGUCUGCGACCUACACCACAGUUCACAGCAAUACCGGAUCCUUAACACACUCAGCGAGGCCAGGGAUUGAACCCACAACCUCAUGGUUCGUAGUCGGAUUCGUUUCCGCUGCGCCAUGACGGGAACACCCAAGACAGUGAUCUUGGGUAUCAAGCACGCACAGGAGGAGGUCCUCCUUGGUUAGAUGAUGGGAAGAGGGAGCAGGAGUGGAGGAGACUAUUUCCUAAGUGACAAAGGGAAAAACUACAGACUAUGGUGACAAAGACACUGAGACCUCAAAUGCAGAUUACAAAACUUCAGUCAUGGACAUAAUCUAAAUUCAAAAAACACGCUAUCGUUGCAAAGCUCUUUCUUACACAGAAGCAAAUCUGAUCCACACAAAUGGAUACAUGAUAAAGGACAGUGUAAAAGGUUAAUGACAGAAUCUUGCCUACGCCCUAGACCAAUGGUUCUCAACCAGGGCAAUUUUAUGCCACUUCCCCAGGGACAUUUGGCAAUGUCUGGAGACACUCUGAUGGUCACAGCUGGGGCAGGGCACUGGAAUCAAGUGGGCAGAGUCCUAGGAUGCUGCUAAACAUCCCAUAAAACCCAGGACAGUCUGCAUCACAGCAUGUAUCCUGCCCAACAUGUCAGCAGUUCUAAGGCAGAGGAACUCUGAUCUGGAGGUAUUACCUUCACAUCUGACCCGCUGUAGGCCUGCCCACCCCAACCAAAUGUGAAAAUUCUUCCUCAUUCCCUCCUGGAUCCGAGGAUCGCUCAAUUCCAGACAAAUGAUAAAACAUCCGCGCUUCGGCAUAUAAAUCAUCUUCAAUUAAGACAUUUCUGUUGGAAAGCGCUUUUGGCAGGACAAACGAAAUAUUUGCCACUGUUCUCCGACUUGGAGCUUUCAAGGUUGGCAGGGCGAUUUAUUUUUGUUGAUUAAACAAAAUACAAAUGGAAAGAGCCUAAAAAUUGAUUCGCCAAUUAAACUCAAUGAUUCUCAACAAUAAAAUGUGCUCUAUUAGCUCUGCCAGCGUUAUAAAAAUGCCUCCUCGCUUUCCUGCUGUUUUCAAGCGUUACACCAUGGAUAUUUGUGCUGACAGAAAGAUUAAGUAAGGACUGGAUUAUGCAAAAUUUGUCUUUCCUUUUGCUGGAAAGGAAGGAAGAGAAAUGAUUAACGGCCUGGGCCAUUUCAGGAAGGAGGUCUGCUCAGCAUGUGUAAUUCUUGAAAGAAUGAUUCGGGUUGCGGAAGCAAGCCACUGUCACUCAUUUCGUGUGCCCUUAUUCUUUGGCAAAUUACAGAUUGACUAAUAGAGGCCAAUUUGUUGAGAUGACAACAAUCAUAAAUAUCCAAACUCUUCAUUUUCUCCUGUCACUUUUCAAGGGGACGGGUGUCCAGGGAGGCCGUCAACCAAAUGACAGGUGUCAGAUGCUUCUGCAAAAUGGACCCAAUGUACAGAGUGGCACCAUAACCCUAUUUCGGGUCCAGCGCACAUUUUUUCUGAAUGGCAACCAUGAGGUCCAGGCCACAACUGCAAGAAAUGCACAGAAAAUCGCCAGCAAACCGGGCCAGCAGAAUGCUGAUGCUUCCUGGUGGUCAGAGCACGGAUGUCACGGGCUGCUAUGCAUUUUUAAACUUGAUUGUACAUAAUUGUUAAUCAGUGACCCAUUCUCCAACCCUCCUGGGCUGGAACAUGUUGCUAGGCAACCAAUUUUGCUCCAGAUACUUUCUGAAAGCCAGAGAGGCAACAACCAAGUGUCAACUCUGUGCAUACUAACCAUUAGAGACAGGUUCAAAUUAAAAAAGGAUGCCUGGUUUCCGUAAAGCACGUCCAUCUCACAUCCUUUCCUUACGUAGACACAUAUUUCCAUGUCCGACAACUCAGCACAUAAGCUCUCUUAGGUUGAAUGGGAUGAAAUUGCCCUUUUGGUAGCUCAAUUUGGCAAUUCAUACAGUUCAACCUUAUAAUUUCAGAGAGGUUCGCACAGCCUCUAAAACAGAGGAACCAUAAUUCUCUGCCGGUCUAAUCACAAUUGUGCUUUGUAUCAGAAACAUAUCAUUGACCUAGUCCACGUUUUCUGGAAGUUGUUUUUAUAAGAGACGGCUGGGAGAGGGAGCCCACAUCAUUAUACAAAUGCCUGAAUAAGCAAUCGCAUCUCUUUUUCCAUUUUAGACUAUUACAAACUGAUCCUUUUUUUUUUUUUUUU